RNAcentral lists this ribosomal RNA (105 nucleotides) under Oryctolagus cuniculus (rabbit). The record is from RNAcentral. Lineage: Eukaryota; Metazoa; Chordata; Mammalia; Lagomorpha; Leporidae.
GUCUACAGCCAUACCUCCCUGAAUGCACCCGAUCUCAUCUGCUCUCAGAAGUUAAGCAGGGUCGAGCCUGGUUCGUACUCGGAUGGGAGAAGUCAGUGAGAGAUC